Molecule: ribosomal RNA, 489 nt
Filed under: uncultured bacterium
Lineage: Bacteria
Description: partial 16S ribosomal RNA
Rfam family: Bacterial small subunit ribosomal RNA
Source: RNAcentral
AUUGAACGCUGGCGGCAGGCCUAACACAUGCAAGUCGAAUGGUAACAGGAAACAGCUUGCUGUUUCGCUGACGAGUGGCGGACGGGUGAGUAAUGUCUGGGAAACUGCCUGAUGGAGAGGGAUAACUACUGGAAACGGUAGCUAAUACCGCAUAACGUCGCAAGACCAAAGAGGGGGACCUUCGGCCCCCUUCCCUUCAAUGUUCCCAGAUUGGAUUAGCUAGUAGGUGGGGUAACGGCUCACCUAGGCGACGAUCCCUAGCUGGUCUGAGAGGAUGACCAGCCACACUGGAACUGAGACACGGUCCAGACUCCUACGGGAGGCAGCAGUGGGGAAUAUUGCACAAUGGGCGCAAGCCUGAUGCAGCCAUGCCGCGUGUAUGAAGAAGGCCUUCGGGUUGUAAAGUACUUUCAGCGGGGAGGAAGGGAGUAAAGUUAAUACCUUUGCUCAUUGACGUUACCCGCAGAAGAAGCACCGGCUAACUCCGUG